GUAUCCAGAGGGAAGUGACCUCGCGAGAGCAAGCGGAACCCAAAAAGAACGUCGUAGUCCGGAUCGGAGUCUGCAACUCGACUCCGUGAAGUCGGAAUCGCUAGUAAUCGCAAAUCAGAAUGUUGCGGUGAAUACGUUCCCGGGCCUUGUACACACCGCCCGUCACACCAUGGGAGUGGGUUGCACCAGAAGUAGUUAGUCUAACCUUAGGGGGGCGAUUACCACGGCGGGGUUCGUGACUGGGGUGAAGUCGUAACAAGGUAACCA
RNAcentral lists this ribosomal RNA (267 nucleotides) under uncultured bacterium. RNAcentral describes it as "partial 16S ribosomal RNA". It matches the Rfam family "Bacterial small subunit ribosomal RNA", at positions 1235 to 1502 of the family's 1533-position model. The record is from RNAcentral.